GCAGCGAUAGCUCAGUGGUAGAGCAGGCGAGUAAGUUAUACCAGGAUAGGGCUAUGCAAUUUGAGUCAUAUCACUAACAAUCCAACAGUUGCAGUUCGUCAGGUCAGGUGUUCAAUCCACCUUCGCUGCU
Non-coding RNA from Aspergillus nanangensis, 130 nucleotides. Lineage: Eukaryota; Fungi; Ascomycota; Eurotiomycetes; Eurotiales; Aspergillaceae. The record is from the annotation of a GenBank genome assembly.